UAACCUGCCUGGUAGCGGGGGGUAACUAUUGGAAACGAUAGCUAAUACCGCAUAAGAGUAGAUGUUGCAUGACAUUUACUUAAAAGGUGCAAUUGCAUCACUACCAGAUGGACCUGCGUUGUAUUAGCUAGUUGGUGGGGUAACGGCUCACCAAGGCGACGAUACAUAGCCGACCUGAGAGGGUGAUCGGCCACACUGGGACUGAGACACGGCCCAG
This 217-nucleotide ribosomal RNA is filed under the name uncultured bacterium. RNAcentral's name for it is "partial 16S ribosomal RNA". It matches the Rfam family "Bacterial small subunit ribosomal RNA", at positions 122 to 334 of the family's 1533-position model. The record is from RNAcentral. RNAcentral also lists the same sequence under 1 other name.